GGGCUACCCCGAGUGCUGUCCGCUGAGGAUGGCUUUUCUCUGCUGUAAGGAGGCGGAGGAAUAAGGAGAGGGCAAGUCUGGUGUCAGCCGCCGCGGUAAUACCAGCUCUCCGAGUGGUGGGGAUGUUUAUUGGGCCUAAAGCGUCCGUAGCCUGCCCUUCAAGUCUUUCGUUAAAUCCAGCGAUUCAAUCGUUGGACUGCGGGAGAUACUGUUGGGCUAGGGGGCGGGAGAAGCCGACGGUAUUUCCGGGGUAGGGGUAAAAUCCUAUAAUCCCGGGAGGACCACCAGUGGCGUAGGCGGUCGGCUAGCACGUGCUCGACGGUGAGGGACGAAAGCUGGGGGAGCAAACCGGAUUAGAUACCCGGAUAGUCCCAGCUGUAAACGAUGCGGGCUAGGUGUUGGAGUGGCCACGAGCCACUUCAGUGCCGCAGGGAAGCCAUUAAGCCCGCCGCCUGGGGAGUACGGCCGCAAGGCUGAAACUUAAAGGAAUUGGCGGGGGA
RNAcentral lists this ribosomal RNA (500 nucleotides) under uncultured archaeon. RNAcentral's name for it is "bacterial SSU rRNA". It matches the Rfam family "Archaeal small subunit ribosomal RNA", at positions 373 to 875 of the family's 1478-position model. The record is from RNAcentral.